Cygnus atratus (black swan) is the source of this 1838-nucleotide long non-coding RNA. RefSeq lists it as uncharacterized. The transcript is spliced from 5 exons. Lineage: Eukaryota; Metazoa; Chordata; Aves; Anseriformes; Anatidae. The record is from RefSeq and is a predicted model, not a curated record.
CCUGUCCGAGCGCCAGCCCCGUGGGCCUGCCGUGGCACUGCUGGGAACAUCCAAGGGCAUUAUGCAAUUGUGCAGAGGCGGUUUUUUCAUGCAGCCUGGCGAGGCAGCGUCUGAUAAUGGCUCUGCCUUUGUUUGUAUCACACAAUCGGGCUCGUGAUCUUCCCUCCAGUACAGGCAGCCCACGGUGUUAUGCCCUGUACUUCUGCGAUGACAGGCACAGGGCUGCGCACAGGACAGGGAGCCCGCAGUGCUUUAACCGGUGAAUCACCUACUAGCUAGUUAGGCACAAAUCAUUAAUGGUCUAAAAGGGCUGGAAUAAGUUAGGUCGGCUCCAUUUCUGUGGAAGCGCAAAUUGUGUCUUUUUUCAGGAGGCAUGGGAAACCCUUUCUAAGUUUAAAAACAAACUUACCAACUUUGACUUCUGAGUAAUGACACUGAUUUCAUUUUCCAAAGGUCACAGGGGAAUUUUCUUCUGCCAUCUCUAAAGGGCAUGACAAAUGUUCCUCUAACAAAGUAACGAAUUGUUCAACACAAUGCACUUAGCAAUUACCUUGCCAUAAAGGUAUUUACAGCAGGAUCCUGAGCUAAUUUGCCCAGUGUCAUUCUGCCUUCUGCAUGAUUCUCUUUCACAUUUUGGGCAUGGAUUAGCUUCUAGUACGGUAGGCAAAGGAGUCAACCGUGCAAGAAGUUAGAAGCAAAGACGCUGCAGCAUGUUACUAAAUGCAGAUUCAGCACAAAGAUUACCAACAUAAACCGAGAUCAGUUUGGCAAGAGGAAAACCACCCCUGCACCAGCAGCAGGAACGUGUUCACUGGCCUGUGGGUUACAAGUGCAGUGUCACAGCAAACCUGGUUAGACAAGCGCUCGCCUGGCUCCCUGACCUCUUCUACUUGGCAGGCUUUUCUUUGCAGUUUUGACUGAGACCAAUAUGGGAGUGAACAAUGGAAACUACACUGCCCCUCCAGCCUUCGAACUGCUCCCAGAACAUCCUGGUAUAGGUGCGCUGGCCAGGCAAGGUGAAGGAGAGGUCUCAUCGCUCCAGCAUGCGGGACCAAACUUACCUUUCAAAUCAGAGGGCUACGAGACUUGGGGAAGUUUUGCACGCCCCUGCAGAACAAACCACAGAUCUGGACUGAGGCUUGAUGUUCUCUGUAUGGUACAUGCAUUACUGCUUUUCUGUUCAGAAGACUUCUUUGCAAAUUUCCUGGCCGAGUAAGGAAGGCAGCCUUGGUCACACCAGUUUUGACAGGAGAGCAUCAGGAAGUCCAGCAGAACAGAGCAAGACAGUUCUUCUGGUAUUUAAAAGUACUCCCACGGCUUUGAUCUCUUCCUCCUUUCUGGAAAUGUAAGCGUACAAAGAGGGUCUGGCCCUGUCUGGGAUGAUGCACUGGGCCAUGUGGUGCUGGCCUUGCAAGGCGACAUAGACAAGCCUGCUGUUCUCCAUCCUACAUCAUUCUGGAAAAUUCCCCUAAUAUUCUGGUUGCUGCAGCAAUGCCAACACGCUGCUGCAAUGCCCCGGUACCCUGCCUGCUGAGAAAUGCCCUGAGAUCGCUCCUUUUCAUUAUGAUUUCUGUCUGCUAUUGGCCACACACAGGAUAUCUAGCUACAAACAAAAAUUAAAAAGCAAAUGAGAGAGAACAAGGUCUCCUACCACAAAUCCACCUCCAAGGACCCUAAGAUGUGAGCGUACACAACCGUGCUUGCUUGAAAGCCAGCCUUUAGCCCUGCAUAUCCUUUAAUGUCAGGUAUGUGCCACUCCAAUCAGUAUAUUGUAGCAACCUACUGUAGACAAGUUUUUCUUUAUUGAUGUUUAAAAUAAACAGGUGUUGGUUUUUUUG